UUGAGAUUUCGAGAAGCAUCUGGGUUACCUGGAGGAAACUAUAUAAGCCACGACGAGAACCACAGGGAGUCAGUAUUACAUCAUUAGAUUAGCAUUGACUUAACGCAUCAGCUCGCGUGAUUUCGUGCUCGUGCUCAAAGUGAAUCAUCAGCACCCAAAACAACAGCAGCAACAAUUACAGUGACUUCGUGCCAGUGCGUAAAGUUAUUCACCAAUAGCAAAAAUUAUUAGUUCCACCAAAGAGCGUGCGCGCAACUCCUCAAGUGUUUCGCAAAAGCCCUCAGCAGACCGCGUGUGUUCUCACACGCGGAAAAAUGUCGUAUUCUAGCGACAGCGAUCAAAGUGCGGUCAUGAGCAGUGACAACGAUUCAUUUUGAAGCAGCAAUGUGGGAAAAAACUAGAGUUGAUGGGACCAGAAAGUUAAAAAGAAAUGCCGUACCUACACUUUUUUCUUUCACAAACCCGAAGAAAAUCAGAAAAGAUCCUACUCAAAGAACUAUACCGACCCGAGAGGCACAUACAACCCUUCCUACUUGCUGUAGUACAAACACCCAAGAACUAAAUGUAAGCUCCCUCGAACAGCCUUCCCCUUGCUUCUCUGUUAAUUGUGAUCCUGAAAUGAAUAGUGCAAACUCGAGCCCUCAAAAAUCAAAUAAUUUAAGUAACAAAGAAAAAGUAUAUAUGUAUCAAAAAUUAUUAAAGAAAAAAUAAUUUUUGCUAAAACACCACACGUGUAAAUUGCGAAAUAAUACUUACAAAUUGAAAAUGUUAGAAAAAAACCAAACUUCAGGCAACUCUCAUGUACUACAUGCUGAAUUUAAUGACGACCAAAUUAUAGCAUUAAAGAAGAAACAAUCGUUGAAAAGUACAAAAUUGAUUAAAUGGAGUGAUAAUACUAUAAUUAAAGCAAUGAAAUUGAAAUUCAGUUAUGGUAACUCAGGUUACGAGAAAUUAUUAAAACAAAAUUUACUCUCUCCUUCCAUAAGUUAUGUCAGGCCUAAAGAUCCGCAUUUGACUUGUCUAUGGCGUAAAAUUUGCGACACCCUUAACGUGAAGUGCCGUCCCUUGGUUCCCAGGAACUGAACACUUACUUGUUGAAGUGUGUGAACCAUACAUUGGUAGAUUAGAUAUAAACCAGAUGCAUUUUUUGUCAGUAGGUUAAGCUAGGAUUUCGUUUACAUUUUUAAGUGUAGCUUUUAUGUCAGGCAGUCAGCUGAAAACCGCCAAAGAGUUUGGUACAUACAAUUGUUAACAAUCAACUUUUUUAAUUUUAAAUAAAUAUUUUAAAAAACAAAGUCUCGGCCAUUGAUCGUUAACUCAUACGAACUUUACAACGUAGAUUACAAUAUAAUAUAAAUAUAAGUAUAGUAUAGUAUAGUAAUUAACAGUUUAGUUUAGAAGGCGUUAGAAAAUAUGAAAUAGAAAAUAAUUAUAUGUAAGUUUUUAUUGCGUAAAGCCAACUAAUGUCUUAUAAUGUUUGUCGUGUGUGUUUUAAUACCUGGGACCUAGACAAUAAACAUUACUCAGUAAUGGUUA
This is a long non-coding RNA of Dendroctonus ponderosae (mountain pine beetle), 1536 nucleotides long. RefSeq lists it as uncharacterized. The record is from RefSeq and is a predicted model, not a curated record. The transcript is spliced from 2 exons. NCBI's taxonomy places the organism in Eukaryota, Metazoa, Arthropoda, Insecta, Coleoptera, Curculionidae.